ACGGCGAAUGGUUCAUCAAGUCUUCAAAAACGAAUAUAUACGAUUGCAUUGCAUAUACUAACGGAUGCGAUCAUACCAGCACUAAUGCACCGGAUCCCAUCAGAACUCCGCAGUCAAGCGUGCUUGGGCGAGAGUAGUACUAGGAUGGGUGACCUCCCGGGAAGUCCUCGUGUUGCAUCCCUCUUUUAUGUUUAACCUUUUUUU
RNAcentral lists this ribosomal RNA (204 nucleotides) under Arabidopsis thaliana (thale cress). The record is from RNAcentral. Lineage: Eukaryota; Viridiplantae; Streptophyta; Magnoliopsida; Brassicales; Brassicaceae.